UCUCCGUAGGUGAACCUGCGGAGGGAUCAUUACAGAGUUCAUGCCCUACCGGGUAGAUCUCCCACCCUAUGUUAUUAUUACUUUGUUGCUUUGGCGGGCCGUUAGGCUCCGGCCCGACUACCGGCCCCGGCUGGUGAGCGCCCGCCAGAGGACCCAAAACCCUGAAUAUUAGUGUCGUCUGAGUACUAUAUAAUAGUUAAAGCUUUCAACAACGGAUCUCUUGGUUCUG
Molecule: unclassified non-coding RNA, 229 nt
Filed under: plant metagenome
Description: partial contains small subunit ribosomal RNA, internal transcribed spacer 1, and 5.8S ribosomal RNA
Source: RNAcentral